UCCAAAUAUAGCUAGUCAAACCCGGUCACAUGACCAACGUCAAUUACUAAUCCACCUGCACGUCCAAAGGCGCCAUUUUUAAAAUGAACAUAUCAGAUAUUUUAAAAGCACAACGGAGUUAUCAAACAAAAAGUUAUUCGGCUUCAGAAGAAUUGGAUUUUACCCACUGGAUUUAUGGAUCAACUUUGGGAUUUGUACUAUCUUGGCUUUAAACACACGGAUUGCCAAAUUGAAAGUGCAGAAAAUAAGACAUGAUCUGACAUCCCUCUUGACGAAAUGCGGAAAAUCACACACGCGGAUUGGUCCUCCAUGGUCUUACAAAUGGGGAACACUCAUUUGCUCCAGUGGGAGUAUGACGGUGGGAAUUUACUGCGGACCACACUCUGAGGAUUCAGCCGUAAAGCUGGACCAUGGUGUGGAGACCAAAUGCCACCUUCAGACCCCCAGCAGAAUGCUUAUUCAUACAUCAACUCAGUUUUAUCCAACUAGGGUUGAGCGUUACUGGAAGGUUAUGAGAUGUUGAGUGUUACAAUUGGGCAUGGGUUGAUAUAACAUUCUGAUAGUUUAAUAACCUUGAAUAAAAAUAUCAUGGUUUCACGAUAUUACAAUA
This 610-nucleotide long non-coding RNA is filed under the name Danio rerio (zebrafish). Its description in RNAcentral is "lncRNA (ENSDARG00000117792.1)". Lineage: Eukaryota; Metazoa; Chordata; Actinopteri; Cypriniformes; Danionidae. The record is from RNAcentral.